Marmota monax (woodchuck) is the source of this 5836-nucleotide long non-coding RNA. RefSeq lists it as uncharacterized. The transcript has 5 exons. Lineage: Eukaryota; Metazoa; Chordata; Mammalia; Rodentia; Sciuridae. The record is from RefSeq and is a predicted model, not a curated record.
UCGAGGCCAGGCCUUCUGGUCUGAGCGCCCGCUGUGCCCACAGCAAUGCAGGGUGCCAUCUCUGUAUUCCUCACAUCAAUAGGGUGCUGCUUGAACGUGGCCCCCAGCCCGUGGGCACCUGGGCAGGGCAGGCUGCACCCCAGAGGGGCACUGCUCCUGCUUCCCCAGAAAGGCAGCCCUAGGCCCUGGGAGGGCUCAGCGCCAUCCUCCCAGAGGGCUGGGCACGAAGCAAGGACAGCCGUGAAGUGGAUGCAGCCACGCAGCAGCCAGCCCUCUCCCUGGAGCGGUGACCACCACUGGUGACAGUCAGCUCAAUCAAGGGAUGCUGACCUAUUCAAUGCCACCUGCAAGGAGCCUGGAAUCCUGGUACUUGCCAGGCAAAAGAUGCCCACGUGGCCAGCCCCCGACACCCUGUCAGCAGGACCCUCAAGCUUUCCUAGUGGAUGCCACGCCCCACGUGCUACCACAGCACUGGCCGAGGGUUUGGCGCACCCCGAGCCGCCCCUGUGCGGUGGUCUUGGUGGCUUGUGGCUGGUUUGCUCCUCCCCCGCCGUCUCUCCCCUCUGCUCCUCUUGGUUUGGGUCCUUCCCUGGAAUCACCUGUAGCCCUGUAUGACUCCGUAAGUCCUGCGAAUCCCACGAGAGAGCGUCAGGCCUGGAGGUGGCCUGGGGACCACAACGCUCCAACCGUGGGACCCUGGGCAAUCACUCGACCCGAGUUUCCCUGGCUGGGCAAUGGGGUGAUUUCAAGCCAGAACUCAUCUCCCAAGAUGGUGGUGAAGAUGACAGGAGUCGGAGUCUGUCAGUUGCUUAGGACAGCUGGCACCAGCAGGCACUCAGGAAGUGCUCCUGGAGAGGGUAGGGGGUCAGCUAGGUGACCUCGGUGGGAUAAGGACACUCAGGACAGCACUGUUUCGGAAUGCGACUGUGAGGGUGACUGGGGGCAGCUCUGAGUGGACCCAGGAGGGAAGACCCACCCUCAGUGAGGGCGGGCACCAUCCAACCUCCUGCGUCCCAGACAGAGAAAGAAUACGGGGGGCACACACACACACCCCUCUUCUCCUGGACGUCAGAACUCUGGGCUCUCUGGGCCUGGACUGACAGGACCAGCAGCUCCGGGUGCUGGGACUUGGGGCCUUGGACUGAGACGCACACCAUGGGUUUCCUUGGUCCUGACCCUUCAGAUCUGGACCGUGUCACGCUACCGGCACGCCAGGGUCUCCGCUUGCUGACGGGCUGCCGUGGGGUUUCUCUGCCUCCAAGAUCCCUAGUCAAGCUCUCUAACGAAUCCCCUCCUGUAACACCUACACACGUCCGUCCGUUUUUUCCCUCUGGAGAGCUCUGACACGCUUCAGGACACAGUGCUCGAUGGACAUGUGGAUGUGCACCCCGGGAGCCACCAAAAUGAUGAACGGAAACGGGUCAGUGAGGGUGGUGAUCAGCAGAGGCAGGAGCCAGCUGCCAACCACAGGACUCUGGGACGAUGCGGGAAGUCACCAGCAGCUGGUGGCAACGUGAGGCCAGGAUUAGGGGCAGCACAGGGGGACAGGUGGCACUUUGGUCUGUCCAGAUGGCGGCUGCCCCAUGGGGUGACACCUGGGGAGGCCAGCCAGACAGCCAUGGCCACUCGGAGGAGCUGCAACACCACACAGUCCCCAGCCUCCACCCAAUCUGAGCUGUUGAGGCCCGUGGCUGGUUCCUCCCCUGGCUCCCGGGAUAGGCCAGAGGCCAACACCGUGGCUGUGAGGGACAUGGGUCACGUGUCGCUUACCGUUACCUUCUCUUCUGCUGUUAUGGUAAGAAGGGCUUUCAGCUGUGUCCUGUUCUGGAAAAGAAAAAAAAAAAAAAAAACACUCUGGUCACUGCUCCCGGAGUCUGGUCCGCAGGGUAGCAUUGGUGUCACGUUCAGCCCACCAGGCAUCCAGGCAACAGCUGGGCAAGGAGGAGCCCGCGGGGUCCUGCAAUCCCUUGCCGGGAAGUCUGUGAUUUUGGAUCCUGCUUUCUCCACCAAACGCUCAAGCGCAUACACAGCAGCAGGUUCCUAAGACCCAGGAGAGCCCGCGGCAUGGUGUGUGGGAAACACAGGUGGGGGUCAGGCCUCCCGGAAAGGGGUGGGCCCACAGCUGCCAGCUGUGUGUCCAGGGGAGACCAUCCACUCUCUGCCUAGGGUCACCUCUCACUGUGACCACCCUGUGGACCCACCUAAUGGCUUCAAUGUCCCUCUGUUGAGAAGACACCAGACCCAUGAAGGGAAUAUCUGCAUGUUCAUAAAGAACCCUCUUGGGGCUGAGACCCAGGACUAAAUACAAACUCCAGUUAAGUUCCGCAGACGCCUUCCCCACACACCGGAGAGAAACUCUAUACAACACAAAGUGCAACUGCAUUUUGACCAGAUCCCAUGCCCUGAGGUCAGGUAUGGAAUUCCGCAUGUGCGGUGUCACGUGGGUGCUCAACCAGUUUGUCAGCAUUUUGGAUUUGGGGUUCGGGGAUGAGAAGUGCUCCCCUGUGGUAUCCCGGCACGUCACCUUGGGCCUGGAGAUUGAAGUCCCGUGAGCCAUGCGCAAUGUGCAGCGGUCAUCAGGGACACUACUCUCUAACCUGACCUGUGCUCCAAGGCAGAAAACCCCCUGGCCCAUGGGCCCCCACUGUGACAACAGCCCAGGAGGCACGCAGCAUGCCAGGUCCAGCUCGGGCGGCAGGCAACCUGUCAGAGGCUUUGAAAGAAACCAACUACCAUGGCUCAUUUUCUAGGGGCUUAGAAAAAAAUUUAAAUAUGAGUCUUAAAAGAAGUGACAACCAGAGGGCAAUCGCCCUGCCCUUUCUGCUUGAGCGGCCGCUGCUCUGGCAUAUUUAUGAUGCUCUGUGGGUUUCAGGUCCCCUGAGCUGGACAGCUAAGGCUAAAUUUGGAAGGCCACACCUGGGGGCUCUCUGCCCUGCUCUCGUCCCCCACAGCACCCCUGCCUCCAGUCUAGGCAAACAGGAGUGUCCGUGUGCCGUGGAGCUCGGAUUCAGACCCUAACCCCUGGCUUACCACGUAAACUCAAGGCUGGAAAAGAUGUUUUGAACCUUAGCACAAGUCAGAAGACAUGGGCCAGGGGACUGCAGCGAUGGACUUACAAAGUGGCCAUGAAGUGUACAUGACACACUGUCCUGACUUUCUCCUUCCUGAUCUGCCUUCAUCUAGGAUCAAUGAUUCUAAAGUGGCGGAACUAGAUGAGACUUGGGGAAUCUUCCCACUGCUCUCAUUUUUCAGAUGAAGAAACUGAAGCCUGGUGAAGUCCCACUGAGUGUCUGAGUAUGGGUGAGCACGCAGCUGGCACAGUGGCUGCAGCCCCGAGGCACGGGAGGUAGUGCUGGACAGGCAGAGCGACCACUCAUGUGGAGCUCACAUAAGUCUCACUCAGACUCAGGGUCUGAUCAUUUUCAGUCCUAAAGACACACUGACACUCCAUAGCAUAUAGGAAAGCCCAGGAGUCACCCAGACUCUCAAGUCCACCCAGUGAAACAAGCUGAGAACAAGGGAUGGGGACCUUGCCGACUUCCAGCACUAUUCACUCAACAAACACUGACCAAGCACCUUCUACACUGCACUUCCAGGGCAGGUCUGAGGCUAAGAGCUCAAGACAGCAGCAGGAGGGAGCCCGGAACUCAGCUCGUGAAGCUCGGAACUCUGGAAUCUUCUGGCGGGCAGGAUGAAGCCAAGACUCUGAAGACAGGUGAUAAAGGGAGAAGACCACCACGAUUGUUGUCCAGAAACGGCUGUCCUGGCCUGACCCCGCCUGGCACAGCCAGGUCAUACUCUCCAUGCACUCCCAGACCUUGGCCUGGCUCAUCCCCAAGUCCCCCGAGGCCGAUGGCUAGGGAACAGGUUAUUUUCUGCAACCUUGAGAAGAAACUGAGACUGAUCUGCGUAGGAAUGAAGAGUGGACACUGUCUUGUCCCUAAAUGAUGCUGGCUUUCAUAAAAGAAAAGCAGCAAAUACUACCACUACUCAGCAUCAUCGUCAUGAGGUCAGAGUAUCAGAGGACUCAAGUCUGCUGGUCAUUUGAUUUUAUCGUCAUCUAAUUAUUCUUUGAGAAAAACAAAGUUGCCUGUCCCCGAAGUUGAAAAUCAGUGCCACCUCCCCUGGCACAGCAGACUUCACAGUAAGCACUAUCAACAUGCUGACCGGAGGGAAUGCAGGGUGCUGGGCAGAGUCUGGACAUGGGCUUCAGAGCCACAAGAAGAACCUAACAAGAACAAAAACAGCCACGAGAUGCCCACCAACACCAGGCGCACCCCCGCGGCCCGGCCAUCCCGGAGUUUUUCAGGGAUUAGCUUCCUCAUCCUCACUAUGACCUUGACCUCGUGUCCUGCUCAGUGCAAGGAUGAGGAGAUGGGCAGGAGGCAUCCCCAGAGCAGAGUGAGAUGGACUCGGGUGAGGAAAGGGCUUGCAGUGGCCAGGGCUCCCAGCAGUGAAGGGAGGGACAGGUGGGUCCUUGCAGGGUCUGGGGGCAGGAGGAUGCCUUUGGAGUAGGGGAUCAGGUCAUACUUCCUGGAAAAGGUCACCCCAGGACCAAGCCCCAAAGGAUAGAGGAGACGUGUGCAUUCAGAGUCAGAACAGGAGAGCUCUCAGGUGGGAAGCCUGGGCAGGUGUGGGAGCUGGAGUCGGUGGCAGGUUUGUCUGGCAGAGCGUGGACGAGGAAAGACAAGGGGAAACGGAAGACAGGGCCGGAGGUGCAGUGGGCUGGGGAGGGCUCUGCAGGAGCCCGCACCUUCCCCUUAGCAGGCGGAGUCCAAGCCACAGGAUCUCCUCCACUCAGUCCACAAGGACGCCUGAGAAACGUGGGGAUCUCAAGUCGACGUGGGGCUCAAUGGAGCAAACCCAGAGCUGUCUGUGCUCUGCUAGUGGAGCUUAAGAACUGGGGGACUUGUUUUUAUAUCAUUGAAGGAUGGAAACCCUAGGGGUCACUUUUAGGACAUCACGGAAACCAGAGCCAGCAAAGAGGUCACAACUUUUGAAUCAGCUCCACUAGUAGAUUCUGUCAACAAGAUUGUAUUAAGAAAGAUUCUGGGUGGGCUGGGGUUGUAGCUCAAUGGUAGAGUGCUUGCCUUGCAUGUGUGAGGCACUGGGUUCGAUUCUCAGCACUGCAUAUAAAUAAAUAAAUAAAGGUCCAUUGACAACUAAAAAAAAUAUUUUACAAAAAAAGAACUGGGUACGGUGGUGCAUGCCUGUAAUCCCUGCAGCUUAGAGGCUGAGGCAAGAGGAUUGCAAGUUCAAAGUCAGCCUCAGCAAGAGCGAGGCGCUAAGCAACUCAGUGAGACCUGUCUCUAAAUAAAAUACAAAAAGGGCUGGAGAUGUGGCUCAGUGGUUGAGUGCCUUUGAGUUCAAUCUCUAGUACCAGAAAAAAGAACCUGCUUCAUCAAUCAAUGCCAGCUCCCUCAGCAACGGGCCCCUGACAGCCAGCCCAGACGGCAGCACCCCAAGCAAAACAGCCAUUCAGCAGCUUCCCAGAGGCACAUGCCCAAACACCGUGAACACACUGGAGCGACCUGGACAUCUCAUGAACGUGCUUCCGAGGCCAACGUCAACAUCCUCCCACCUUGCCCAGUGCACACAAACUCUCUGCCUUUCUGAGUGAUGGCAAUUUUGGUCAUCAGGUGAUGGGGGCACCAGAGUCAUUGGACUCUAUCACUCAGAACAUGUCUGGCUGAAAUUUUUCACAAUUAAAAUUGAAUCUGUAUUUAAAAAAACAACAACACAGGAUUCUGCCAUCACCUUGCAGAAACUUCUUUCUGAAAGCCUGGAAUCCAUCCUGGGUCUUGUUCCCGACCGACUCCCUGAGGGUGAGGCCUGU